AGAGUGAGCUAAAGCGAAGUCCACUCGCAGCUGCCUCGCCUCUUCACUUCCACUGUACUCUCUCUCUCUCUCCCUCUCCUUCCCCCUCCCCCGCUCUCUCUCUCUCUCAGUCGAAAUUCUCAAAUGUACAAAAUCAAAAACCCUAAAUCCACACUUCCUCACACGGUUUUUCUGUGAGUGCUGAUUUUGGGAGAUGAACAAAGAACACCCACCGGAGCCGCUUGAUUUCUUUAUUUGGACUGUGGAGUGUAAAUUGGGAAGUUUGUACUGUUGAUGAUUGGAGAUUAGAAGGGCUAAUUGAAUGAACAAACCAACAAGAGG
Molecule: long non-coding RNA, 321 nt
Organism: Vitis vinifera (wine grape)
Lineage: Eukaryota; Viridiplantae; Streptophyta; Magnoliopsida; Vitales; Vitaceae
Exons: 3
Source: RefSeq, a predicted model, not a curated record